CAGCCGCGUCACUUCUCUUCCAUGGUUGCAAAAGGAUAGCAUUGCAAUCUCGUCCCUUAACGGUUCUGUUUUACGAUUAUUAUUUUCAUUGAUGAUUUUUUACUUUCUUAGGUAUAAGAUUGUUGUCGCAUGAGGGUCUGGAGUUUGGCUCUUUGGCUUUUUAAUCCGUGCCAUAGAGAUGAAUGCAGCACCCAAUACUGAGUUCUUUCAACCUUUUCACUAAUAUUCGCUUCUAUGUUUGUUUAAUCAGUAUGCGGAUCUUUUCGCUGAGGUUGAUACAUUUUUAAUUUCGUCUGUGAUGAUUUUUGAUCAAAUUUCUUGCCCUUUGUUAUUUAUUACCAUCUUUUUAUUAAGAAAUUGUGAAAUUGAUGAUUCCGGGGAAUCUGAAAUUGUGGUUAUUGAGUGGUAAUUCAGGCAGCCUACUUGCCACGAUAACAAAUGGCAUGAGAGGUGUUAAACUGCUCGUAUAUAAAAUGCUUUUGCUCUUCAGACUUGCUGAAAUUAUUUUGAAGCUGGUCUAGUAAGCUUACGUACA
This is a non-coding RNA of Vigna umbellata (rice bean), 535 nucleotides long. The record is from RefSeq and is a predicted model, not a curated record. NCBI's taxonomy places the organism in Eukaryota, Viridiplantae, Streptophyta, Magnoliopsida, Fabales, Fabaceae.